CUGCUAUCUAACAUGCUGGUUUUCCUUCUGAAUCUAUCCCGUUAACAUUUGCCUUCAUUUAAACUGUAAAAUCAAAUUCUCACUUCCUAGAGCCAAAAGCUGAAGCCCAUUAAUACUCUGAGUGAGCUUCAACCCAUAGUUUGAUAAUUGAAUUAACUUAAAAAGAAACGGGAUAAAUGAACUUGAAAUAACCUUUGAAGUGAUCCCCCUGGAAGGAACAGAGUGUUCCCUGUGAAAAGGCACUGAAGUCAGUUCAUGUUCUGCACACUUUUGGCUUCCCACUUCCCACAGGAGCACAUCAGAAGACAAGGAAAACCAAAGUUUCAGAAUUGAAAGGGAGGUCAGCAGAGAGCUGCCAAUAACACAGAACAACCAAGAAGACAAAGAAAUUCUCUGCUGUGGCUAAAGAAGCAAUUUUAAUUCCUUUCCUUUCUGUAGAACAGGAUAAGUACAAAAAGCUUUGCUUGUGAACACUUUUAAACCAAAAUUUUUAAAGUAUCACAGAAAAGUAAAG
Molecule: long non-coding RNA, 514 nt
Filed under: Zonotrichia albicollis (white-throated sparrow)
Lineage: Eukaryota; Metazoa; Chordata; Aves; Passeriformes; Passerellidae
Description: lncRNA (ENSZALG00000003148.1)
Source: RNAcentral